UGGUCCACUGAUGAUAAUUGGUGGCUUUUGAAUCAUAUGGAAUGAAUACCUCAUUUCUAGAACCCUGAGUUCCAA
This is a small nucleolar RNA of Ailuropoda melanoleuca (giant panda), 75 nucleotides long. RefSeq annotates it as small nucleolar RNA SNORD113/SNORD114 family. The record is from RefSeq and is a predicted model, not a curated record. The transcript has a single exon. Lineage: Eukaryota; Metazoa; Chordata; Mammalia; Carnivora; Ursidae.